GGGCUUGUGGUUUAGUGGUAUAAUUUUCCCUUAGCAUUGCAUAGCACUGCGUACCGGCUGGGAAAGGUCCUGGGUUCGAUUCCCAGCAAGUCCA
RNAcentral lists this transfer RNA (94 nucleotides) under Mytilinidion resinicola. It matches the Rfam family "tRNA". Rfam says of the family: Transfer RNA (tRNA) molecules are approximately 80 nucleotides in length. Their secondary structure includes four short double-helical elements and three loops (D, anti-codon, and T loops). The record is from Rfam by way of RNAcentral. Lineage: Eukaryota; Fungi; Ascomycota; Dothideomycetes; Mytilinidiales; Mytilinidiaceae.